GGAACACAUCCGCAGAGGGGCUACCGAGGGCUUGUUUGACGGGUGUGGAAGGACUUCUUGAACCAGGCCACUACACUCACAGUGCUGUGAUGAACAGACAUGGAGUAAAAUCUUUGCAGUCAUCCAUGACUACUGCUUUGGGAUGACUUUCCAGAAGGAUUUUCUGAGCAACAGCCAUAAAACACAUAUAAGCAGAGAAAGUGGAUUUCUGUCCUCAAAGCUCUCCUCAUACUGUUGGAAGGCAAGAUUCACACA
Molecule: long non-coding RNA, 255 nt
Organism: Ochotona princeps (American pika)
Lineage: Eukaryota; Metazoa; Chordata; Mammalia; Lagomorpha; Ochotonidae
Exons: 3
Source: RefSeq, a predicted model, not a curated record